Molecule: unclassified non-coding RNA, 306 nt
Filed under: plant metagenome
Description: partial contains 5.8S ribosomal RNA, internal transcribed spacer 2, and large subunit ribosomal RNA
Rfam family: 5.8S ribosomal RNA (bases 1-105)
Source: RNAcentral
GAAAUGCGAUAAGUAAUGUGAAUUGCAGAAUUCAGUGAAUCAUCGAAUCUUUGAACGCACAUUGCGCCCGCCAGUAUUCUGGCGGGCAUGCCUGUCCGAGCGUCAUUUCAACCAUCAAGCCCCCGGGCUUGUGUUGGGGACCUGCGGCUGCCCGCAGGCCCUGAAAACCAGUGGCGGGCUCGCUGUCACACCGAGCGUAGUUGCAAUCACCUCGCUCAGGGCGUGCUGCGGGUUCCGGCCGUUAAACAGCCUUACAAAACCCAAGGUUGACCUCGGAUCAGGUAGGAAGACCCGCUGAACUUAAGC